UACAGGGGGUGCAAGCGUUGUUCGGAAUUAUUGGGCGUAAAGCGCGUGUAGGCGGACCACUAAGUCUGGUGUGAAAUCCCUCGGCUUAACCGAGGACGUGCAUUGGAUACUGGUGGCCUUGAGUCCUGGAGAGGGUAGCGGAAUUCCCAGUGUAGAGGUGAAAUUCGUAGAUAUUGGGAGGAACACCGGUGGCGAAGGCGGCUACCUGGGAUAACACUGACGCUCAUGCACGAAAGCGUGGGGA
Molecule: ribosomal RNA, 244 nt
Filed under: uncultured bacterium
Lineage: Bacteria
Description: partial 16S ribosomal RNA
Rfam family: Bacterial small subunit ribosomal RNA
Source: RNAcentral